GACGAACGCUGGCGGCGUGCCUAAUACAUGCAAGUAGAACGCUGAAGGAGGAGCUUGCUUCUCUGGAUGAGUUGCGAACGGGUGAGUAACGCGUAGGUAACCUGCCUGGUAGCGGGGGAUAACUAUUGGAAACGAUAGCUAAUACCGCAUAACAGUAGAUAUCGCAUGAUAUCUACUUGAAAGGUGCAAUUGCAUCACUACCAGAUGGAGCUGCGUUGUAUUAGCUAGUUGGUGAGGUAACGGCUCACCAAGGCGACGAUACAUAGCCGACCUGGGAGGGGGAUCGGCCACACUGGGACUGAGACACGGGCCAGACGCCUACGGGAGGCAGCAGUAGGGAAUCUUUGGCAAUGGACGGAAGUCUGACCGAGCAACGCCGCGUGAGUGAAGAAGGUUUUCGGGUCGUAAAGCUCUGUUGUAAGAGGAGAACGAGAGUGAGAGUGGAAAGUUCACACUGUGACGGUAACUUACCAGAAAGGGACGGCUAACUACGUG
RNAcentral lists this ribosomal RNA (495 nucleotides) under uncultured bacterium. Its description in RNAcentral is "partial 16S ribosomal RNA". It matches the Rfam family "Bacterial small subunit ribosomal RNA", at positions 28 to 507 of the family's 1533-position model. The record is from RNAcentral.